RNAcentral lists this ribosomal RNA (253 nucleotides) under uncultured bacterium. Its description in RNAcentral is "partial 16S ribosomal RNA". It matches the Rfam family "Bacterial small subunit ribosomal RNA", at positions 524 to 776 of the family's 1533-position model. The record is from RNAcentral.
UACGUAGGGUGCGAGCGUUAAUCGGAAUUACUGGGCGUAAAGCGUGCGCAGGCGGUUCGACAAGUCAGGUGUGAAAUCCCCGGGCUUAACCUGGGAAUUGCGCUUGAAACUAGCGGGCUUGAGUGUGGCAGAGGGGGGUGGAAUUCCACGUGUAGCAGUGAAAUGCGUAGAGAUGUGGAGGAACACCGAUGGCGAAGGCAGCCCCCUGGGUCAACACUGACGCUCAUGCACGAAAGCGUGGGGAGCAAACAGG